UACGUAGGCAGCGAGCGUUGUUCGGAGUUACUGGGCGUAAAGGGUGUGUAGGCGGUUUUUUAAGUUUGGUGUGAAAUCUCCCGGCUCAACUGGGAGGGUGCGCCGAAUACUGAAUGACUUGGAGUGCGGGAGAGGAAAGUGGAAUUCCUGGUGUAGCGGUGAAAUGCGUAGAUAUCAGGAGGAACACCGGUGGUGUAGACGGCUUUCUGGACCGUAACUGACGCUGAGACACGAAAGCGUGGGUAGCAAACAGG
This 254-nucleotide ribosomal RNA is filed under the name uncultured bacterium. RNAcentral's name for it is "partial 16S ribosomal RNA". It matches the Rfam family "Bacterial small subunit ribosomal RNA", at positions 524 to 776 of the family's 1533-position model. The record is from RNAcentral.